This 301-nucleotide long non-coding RNA is filed under the name Carica papaya (papaya). RNAcentral's name for it is "long non-coding RNA (CPAP_LNC009802)". Lineage: Eukaryota; Viridiplantae; Streptophyta; Magnoliopsida; Brassicales; Caricaceae. The record is from RNAcentral.
UUGGAUUGAACUUCUCAAGGAUUAUGAUUGUAAAAUUUUGUAUCACCCAAGCAAUGGUAAUAUAGUGGCAAAUACUCUUAGUAGGAAGAAUGCAGGUAUAUUAGCCUAUAUGAUGUUCUCUCCAUGACAAUUGGUAAAAGCCAUGUAAAGGAUAUAACUCCGAUACCUGGAACGUGUUACAUACAUGGCUCAUUUAAAAAUGUAACCCGUGUUGAUCCAGAGGAUUAAGGAGGAUCAGUUGACUGAUCCUACCUUAGUAGUCAUAAAAAAGGACACAAAAUAAGGCUUAAAGCUAGAAUUC